AACCUAGCACACCUGCGGUGUGUACCUGCGGAGGGAUCAUUACUGAGUGUAAAAACUCCCAAACCCAUUGUGAACAUACCGCUGUUGCUUCGGCGGAUACGCCCCGGGCGCGCUCUUCACAGGGCGUGCCCCGGAACCAGGCGCCCGCCGGGGGACCGAAACUCUUGUUUUCUUAGGAUCUCUGAGUGUGAUUAUUAAAUAAAUCAAAACUUUCAGCAAUGGAUCUCAGAUCGGAAGAGC
This 240-nucleotide unclassified non-coding RNA is filed under the name soil metagenome. RNAcentral's name for it is "partial contains 5.8S ribosomal RNA, internal transcribed spacer 2, and large subunit ribosomal RNA". The record is from RNAcentral.